GACGAACGCUGGCGGCGUGCUUAACACAUGCAAGUCGAACGGAAAGGCCCUGCUUUUGUGGGGUGCUCGAGUGGCGAACGGGUGAGUAACACGUGAGUAACCUGCCCUUGACUUUGGGAUAACUUCAGGAAACUGGGGCUAAUACCGGAUAGGAGCACCGCCUGAUGGCGGGGGGUGGGAAAGUUUCGGCGGUUGGGGAUGGACUCGCGGCUUAUCAGCUUGUGGGUGGGGUGGUGGCUUACCAAGGCUUUGACGGGUAGCCGGCCUGAGAGGGUGACCGGCCACAUUGGGACUGAGAUACGGCCCAGACUCCUACGGGAGGCAGCAGUGGGGAAUAUUGCACAAUGGGCGGAAGCCUGAUGCAGCAACGCCGCGUGCGGGAUGACGGCCUUCGGGUUGUAAACCGCUUUCGCCUGUGACGAAGCGUGAGUGACGGUAAUGGGUAAAGAAGCACCGGCUAACUACGUG
This 468-nucleotide ribosomal RNA is filed under the name uncultured bacterium. RNAcentral describes it as "partial 16S ribosomal RNA". It matches the Rfam family "Bacterial small subunit ribosomal RNA", at positions 28 to 507 of the family's 1533-position model. The record is from RNAcentral.